ACAGUACUGCACGCACACAUGCACACAUGCAAUCCAAUUUUUCUUUCUUUUCCAGAACCCAGGAUGGAGCUUCUGGCUGGCAGGCCUAGGGAGUAGGACCAGGCUGGGAGUCAGCACCAUGCAGCUGAAGUUCAGCAGCCUUCUGGCCCUGGCGACUGGGGCAGGGGAAGGCCCUGGGCCCUGGCCCUGAACUGCUCUCCACCCUGGCUGGCACAGGACACCCACUGGGACAGGACACCAGCCCCUCCGUGGUCAACAUAAGACCCCCAAGAGAGGAGUGAGCUUGUCUUUUCCCCAGGCCAACCUCCAGACCCAGACCACACAGCCUUUCCCGGAGGUUACCAAGGAGGCCUGUGACAAGUGGGAAACAGGGACAACAGCCAGGCAGGGGAGCUGCUGAGGAUGGGCCGGUGGAGGUGGCCAUGGUCGCUCUCUCCUGCCAAGCCCUUCAGUAGGAAUCUGUGCUCUGCACCCCAGGUGUCCCAGAUCCGGGUGAUUCCCUGAGCUCCAUGGUGGUGCUGACAGCCAGGGACCAGAAAGAACUGUCCCAUCUCAGCUCUGCUGGAAGAUGAGUGCCACACACUGAGGAAGAGUGCAGGGACUGCAGCGCCUCCCCAGCAACUCGGACACCCUUAUAGACACCAGGUACCCAGUCAUCUAGAGCAGCUAGGGGCUCCUGCCCUGACCCCGCCCCAAGGAAUCGAGGUGAUUAAUGGAUGGUCGAGGCAGCCCCUUAGGCAGCUUAUGCCUGCCCUGUAGAGCAUCCCUGCGGGGGACUCUGACCAGCUUGAGCCAUGUGGAUCCUGAGAGCACUCCCGGGUAGGCAUUU
Molecule: long non-coding RNA, 829 nt
Organism: Rhinopithecus roxellana (golden snub-nosed monkey)
Lineage: Eukaryota; Metazoa; Chordata; Mammalia; Primates; Cercopithecidae
Exons: 7
Source: RefSeq, a predicted model, not a curated record